UACGUAGGGGCUAGCGUUAUCCGGAAUUACUGGGCGUAAAGGGUGCGUAGGUGGUUUCUUAAGUCUGAUGUGAAAGCCCCCGGCUCAACCGGGGAGGGUCAUUGGAAACUGGGGGACUUGAGUGUCGGAGAGGAAAGUGGAAUUCCCAGUGUAGCGGUGAAAUGCGUAGAGAUUGGGAGGAACACCAGUGGCGAAGGCGGCUUUCUGGACGAUAACUGACGCUGAGGCGCGAAAGCGUGGGUAGCAAACAGGAUUAGAUACCCGUGUAGUCCCUGAGCGGGCUGGCAA
This 288-nucleotide ribosomal RNA is filed under the name uncultured prokaryote. Its description in RNAcentral is "partial 16S ribosomal RNA". It matches the Rfam family "Bacterial small subunit ribosomal RNA", at positions 524 to 815 of the family's 1533-position model. The record is from RNAcentral.